GGUGAACGCUGGCGGCAGGCCUAACACAUGCAAGUCGAGCGGCAGCGCGGGGCAACCUGGCGGCGAGCGGCGGACGGGUGAGUAACGCGUAGGAAUCUACCUGGGAGUGGGGGAUAGCCAGGGGAAACUCGGAUUAAUACCGCAUAAGUCCCAAGGGAGAAAGUGGGGGAUCUGCGGCCCACACGCGAUCAGAAGAGCCGGCGUAGGAUUAGCUAGUUGGUAGGGUAAAGGCCUACCAAGGCGACGAUCCUUAACUGGUCUGAGAGGAUGAUCAGUCACACCGGAACUGAGACACGGUCCGGACUCCAACGGGAGGCAGCAGUGGGGAAUAUUGGACAAUGGGGGCAACCCUGAUCCAGCCAUGCCGCGUGUGUGAAGAAGGCCUUCGGGUUGUAAAGCACUUUAAGCAGGGAGGAAGGCUUUGUGGUUAAUAACCAUGAGGAUUGACGUUACCUGCAGAAUAAGCACCGGCUAACUCCGUGCCAGCCGCCGCCGUAA
Molecule: ribosomal RNA, 498 nt
Filed under: uncultured bacterium
Lineage: Bacteria
Description: partial 16S ribosomal RNA
Rfam family: Bacterial small subunit ribosomal RNA
Source: RNAcentral